This 777-nucleotide ribosomal RNA is filed under the name uncultured Pelagibacteraceae bacterium. RNAcentral describes it as "bacterial SSU rRNA". It matches the Rfam family "Bacterial small subunit ribosomal RNA", at positions 44 to 869 of the family's 1533-position model. The record is from RNAcentral. Lineage: Bacteria; Pseudomonadati; Pseudomonadota; Alphaproteobacteria; Candidatus Pelagibacterales; Candidatus Pelagibacteraceae.
ACGCCUUAUACAUGCAAGUCGAACGAAGUAGCAAUACUUAGUGGCAGACGGGUGAGUAACAUGUGGGUAUCUUCCCUUUGGUGAGGAAUAACACGAGGAAACUUGUGCUAAUACCUCAUAAGUCUUUACGGAGAAAGCUUUAUGCGCCAAUGGAUGAGCCCGCACUUGAUUAGUUAGUUGGCAGGGUAAUGGCCUACCAAGACUUUGAUCAAUAGCUGAUUUGAGAGGAUGAUCAGCCACAUUGGGACUGAGACACGGCCCAAACUUCUACGGGAGGCAGCAGUAGGGAAUCUUGCACAAUGGAGGAAACUCUGAUGCAGCGAUGCCGCGUGAGUGAAGAAGGCCUUUGGGUUGUAAAGCUCUUUCGUCGGGGAAGAAAAUGACUGUACCCGAAUAAGAAGGUCCGGCUAACUUCGUGCCAGCAGCCGCGGUAAUACGAAGGGACCUAGCGUAGUUCGGAAUUACUGGGCUUAAAGAGUUCGUAGGUGGUUAAAAAAGUUGGUGGUGAAAUCCCAGAGCUUAACUCUGGAACUGCCAUCAAAACUUUUUAGCUAGAGUAUGAUAGAGGAAAGCAGAAUUUCUAGUGUAGAGGUGAAAUUCGUAGAUAUUAGAAAGAAUACCAAUUGCGAAGGCAGCUUUCUGGAUCAUUACUGACACUGAGGAACGAAAGCAUGGGUAGCGAAGAGGAUUAGAUACCCUCGUAGUCCAUGCUGUAAACGAUGUGUGUUAGACGUUGGAAAUUUAUUUUCAGUGUCGCAGCGAAAGCGAUAAACACAC